Bison bison bison is the source of this 62-nucleotide small nuclear RNA. Its record names the gene U7. It matches the Rfam family "U7 small nuclear RNA". Rfam says of the family: Animal histone pre-mRNAs are spliced by a different mechanism than nuclear pre-mRNAs and self-splicing introns. This processing involves the U7 snRNP, which contains only one RNA species: U7. The 5' end of U7 RNA is thought to base-pair to a conserved spacer element downstream of the cleavage site in histone pre-mRNA. The record is from Ensembl. Lineage: Eukaryota; Metazoa; Chordata; Mammalia; Artiodactyla; Bovidae.
AAGUGUUACAGCUCUUUUAGAAUUUGUCUAGGAGGUUUUCUGAUCCUCACCAGAAAACCCCC